This 1359-nucleotide ribosomal RNA is filed under the name Triticum aestivum (bread wheat). RNAcentral's name for it is "partial small subunit ribosomal RNA". The record is from RNAcentral. Lineage: Eukaryota; Viridiplantae; Streptophyta; Magnoliopsida; Poales; Poaceae.
AUGGGGGAGCAGAAGGGGAAUAUUCUGAUGGGGAAGUACGAGAUGGGGAAGAUGCUCGGGCAAGGGACCUUUGCCAAGGUCUACCAUGCCCGUAACAUCGAGACCUCGCAGAGUGUCGCCAUCAAGGUGACUGACAAGGAGAAGGUUCUGAAGGGCGGGCUCACGGAUCAGAUCAAGCGGGAGAUCUCUGUGAUGAAGCUGGUGAAGCACCCGAACAUUGUUCAGAUGUAUGAGGUCAUGGCGACCAAAACAAAGAUUUACUUUGUGUUGGAGCAUGUGAAGGGUGGAGAGCUGUUCAACAAGGUUCAGAGAGGAAGGCUCAAGGAAGAUGCUGCAAGGAAGUACUUCCAGCAGCUGAUCUGCGCAGUUGACUUUUGUCACAGCAGGGGCGUCUAUCACCGUGAUUUGAAGCCGGAGAACCUUCUUCUUGAUGAGAACAGCAACCUGAAGGUUUCAGAUUUCGGUCUCAGUACCAUUUCUGAAUGCAGAAGACUUGACGGGUUGCUCCACACAUCCUGCGGCACGCCUGCUUAUGUUGCUCCCGAAGUGAUCAAUAGGAAAGGCUAUGAUGGAGCCAAGGCUGACAUCUGGUCCUGUGGGGUGAUCCUCUUUGUGCUUUUGGCUGGGUAUCUCCCGUUCCAGGAUAAGAAUCUGAUGAAUAUGUAUAAGAAGAUUGGGAAAGCAGAAUUCAAAUGCCCCAGCUGGUUCUCUUCAGAUAUCCGAAGGCUUCUGCUAAGGAUUCUUGAUCCUAACCCCAGCACAAGGAUCUCGAUUGAGAGAAUCAUGGAACAUCCUUGGUUCAGGAAGGGUCUAGAUGCAAAGCUGCUCAGAUACAAUUUACAAGCAAAAGAUGCCGUUCCUGCUGCUGACAUGACUGUGACUUCUGAUCCCUUGAGCUGCAGCAACUCAGCAACAGAGGGCAAGGAACAAGGAGCAAAGAAGCUCUCCAACUUGAAUGCUUUUGAUAUAAUCUCCCUCUCAACUGGACUCGACCUCUCUGGUAUGUUUGAGGACAAUGACAAGAAGAGGGAGUCCAAGUUCACAUCCACCAACUCGGCUUCGACGAUCGUGUCAAAGAUCGAAGACAUUGCAAAGUGCAUGCGACUGAAGCUCGUCAAGAAAGAUGGUGGCAUGAUGAGGAUGGAAAGCUUCAAGCCUGGAAGGAAAGGUGUGAUGUCCAUUGAUGCAGAGAUAUUCGAGGUGACCCCUGACUUCCAUCUCGUGGAGUUAAAGAAGACAAACGGUGAUACUAUCGAGUACCAGAAGGUCUUGAACCAGGAGAUGAGGCCGGCGCUGAAGGACAUAGUCUGGGCUUGGCAAGGCGAGCAGCAGCCGCCCCCGCCGCAGCAAUCAUGUUAA